GGGUUAAUUGAAUAAAUUGAAAGACAAUGAGAAGGGAACUCUCCGACUCGGAAGCAAUCCCGAUUCAACUAGGCUUGCACGAGGUGGCGGGUGAUCGGAAGAAAGGUGAAUUCGAACUACGAGUUCAAAGGAAAGCGGUUGAGAUUCCUCGUCAGAUCCAGUUGCGAAGAACAAAUUCAUCUAAUGCUGCGCUUUAGGUUUGGUUGAUGAAUCGAACCAUGGAGGAGGAAGGUUCUUCGGUCUCCAAACAAGUGGAAGUGGCAGUCUGCAUGGCCAUGUCUCUGUUCUUCGUCGCCGUUGUCCAUGCUCCUGCUUUGAUACUUCCGUCUAUCACCUCCUCCUUCUCUUCAAGUUUACACGAUUCGACGAUGUCUGUUCGCCAUCAUUUUCAGGGCCAUCUCAGUCGUUGUCUGCGCUCUAAUCCUUCCUGUUUCCAUCACAAUGCUGACUUUCCCCAUCUCAUUUUGGUUCAUGCUAAAUAAGGAAAAUGGAGUUUUCACUGUUAUUAGCAGCUUGCGGUAUCCGAGCAGAUCAUAUUCCUGCAUAUUGGAAAGGUGAAAUGAAUCCUAAACCUGCAUCCUGAAUUGCAAUUUUAUCUAUGGAGUAGUGGCAAGCCGUGUUCUUUCCUCUUUCAUUGACUUCUUUAAUGUAGGUUGGAUCAAUGGUUUUAAAGUCUUUGUUAUUGGUGGAUUCAUGGAGAGAGCAUAUGAAUCACAGAGAAGGCUCCCUUUCGGACUGUGCUGAAUUUUUUUGGACAAGAGUUCUUGAUCGGGGACUAUUAACAGUCUCAAAUCUUUUAGCUUGGAGAAAUUGUGUUGUGGCUCCACUAACUGAGGAGUUGGUGUUUAGAGCAUGCAUGAUACCAGUUCUUCUAUCUGGGGGGAUUUAACCAACCACUGUGAUAUUUCUCUGCUCCAUUCUUUUCAGUCUGGGCAAUCUUCUUGACCCGUCAGUUGCUCAUGUUUUUUGCAACCUUAUGGGAUUGCCUGCUUUUUUUUCUUUCUCAAAGAAGAGGAGCAUGAGGAUGAAGCUUUUCCCGAUCUCAAGAAACUCGAUCAGAGGAAAGCAAGGAUAAUGAAUGAAAGCAAUGGACAAAAAAAUGAAGGAAGAAGAAGAAGAAGAAGAAGAAGAAAGAAUUGGUUUGAAAUACAAUUGGAAGAAGGAAAGAGAAGGGUAGGGGCCAGCCAGCCUCAAGCCCUCUCAUGGGUUAUGAGUAUCUUAGUGUGAAACAUCAUGGGGUUUCACAGAUGCUCUUUUGGAAUGGCUCCAUAUGAUUCAAGGGCAUUUUCGUCUUUUCAUCCCCCUCGUGGAGCUCGUUCUUCCUUCUAUGUGUUGGCAUCAAUGCAAUCAUGGAGCUCAAAACAAUUGGGUUAGUGUUGCUCAAAUUACCUUAUUGCCCCUUUAAAGCUUUUCCUCUUCCAAAUUUUACCCUAUUUGGCUUUUGAAGAGUUCAAUUUGAUCCUCUUUAACUCAUUUUAAUGAUGAAUGGUUAUUGAGUGGUA
Cucurbita maxima (winter squash) is the source of this 1502-nucleotide long non-coding RNA. RefSeq lists it as uncharacterized. The transcript has 7 exons. NCBI's taxonomy places the organism in Eukaryota, Viridiplantae, Streptophyta, Magnoliopsida, Cucurbitales, Cucurbitaceae. The record is from RefSeq and is a predicted model, not a curated record.